GGGAUCGAAGUGAUUAGAUACCAUCGUAGUCUUAACCGUAAACGAUGCCGACUUGCGAUUGUCCGAUGGUUUUUCUUUAGCCGUGGGCAGCAGCACAUGAGAAAUCAAAGUCUUUGGGUUCCGGGGGGAGUAUGGUCGCAAGGCUGAAACUUAAAGGAAUUGACGGAAGGGCACCACCAGGAGUGGAGCCUGCGGCUUAAUUUGACUCAACACGGGAAAACUUACCAGGUCCAGACAUAGGAAGGAUUGACAGAUUGAGAGCUCUUUCUUGAUUUUAUGGUUGGUGGUGCAUGGCCGUUCUUAGUUGGUGGAGUGACUUGUCUGGUUAAUUCCGUUAACGAACGAGACCUCAGCCUACUAAAUAAUGGACUCUUUCUAACAAAAGAGGAUUCAUUUCUUAGAGGGACAUUUCGGGUUUUACCGGAAGGAAGUUCGUG
This 437-nucleotide ribosomal RNA is filed under the name Thraustochytriidae sp. RNAcentral's name for it is "SSU rRNA". It matches the Rfam family "Eukaryotic small subunit ribosomal RNA", at positions 994 to 1449 of the family's 1831-position model. Lineage: Eukaryota; Bigyra; Thraustochytrida; Thraustochytriidae. The record is from RNAcentral.